RNAcentral lists this long non-coding RNA (742 nucleotides) under Homo sapiens (human). Its description in RNAcentral is "HSALNT0308039". Lineage: Eukaryota; Metazoa; Chordata; Mammalia; Primates; Hominidae. The record is from RNAcentral.
GUUAUCAAGAGAAAAACAGUCUUAGAUGCAACAUAAAAAUUUCAGAGACAGAAGAAAUCUUCCUUUGAGGGCAGGAUUGAAAUGCUGUUUUUCUUCCCUGGUACAAUGUUAAAGCUUUAAACUCUUGUCAAUGAUGUGAUGUUUCAUCUGCAAUGAUCUACACUAGAAAAAUAAAAAUGUAGUUACUGACAAAAAAGCAGGAACUACUGCUCUAAGGAAAAAAGGACAGCUACAUGAGGACCACACAACUCCUGGAAGAGGUUUCCCUGGCAACACAACUUUUCCAUUCAUCUGGUUGCAGUGUUUUCAUCCAGUAGCCUGUCACCUCACUCAAAAGCAGGGCAAUGGAGAGAAAGAAACUUACCAAGUUUUUUCUUUUAACUAGAGAGUAGCCUACUUAUUGGGCCCUGCAAUUAAUUUCAGUACUCCAGGCAGAUUUAUAAAGGAAGCUGCUGGAAGGAAUUCAUUCCCUUUUUGCUGUUCUGCCUUCCACCUUCCACUGUGUGAGGACACUGCAAGAAAGCCCUCAUCAGACACCAACUGCCAGCACCUAGAUCUUGGAAUUCUCAGCCUCCAGAACUGUGAGAAACACGUUUCUGUUUUUCUAUAAAAUAAUAAUAAUAAAAAACUUCCAUGCAGGAAAAAAAAUCAAGUUCAAAGGUCCUGUGGUGAGGGCAUACCAGCUUUGUUUGAGAAGCAGUAAUCAUGCCUGUGUGACUGUAAUGAAAGAAUAAAAGAGAAA